RNAcentral lists this ribosomal RNA (254 nucleotides) under uncultured bacterium. RNAcentral describes it as "partial 16S ribosomal RNA". It matches the Rfam family "Bacterial small subunit ribosomal RNA", at positions 524 to 776 of the family's 1533-position model. The record is from RNAcentral.
UACGAAGGGGGCUAGCGUUGCUCGGAAUCACUGGGCGUAAAGCGCACGUAGGCGGCUUGUUAAGUCGGGGGUGAAAUCCUGGAGCUCAACUCCAGAACUGCCUUCGAUACUGGCAAGCUUCGAGUUCGGGAGAGGUGAGUGGAACUGCGAGUGUAGAGGUGAAAUUCGUAGAUAUUCGCAAGAACACCAGUGGCGAAGGCGGCUCACUGGCCCGAUACUGACGCUGAGGUGCGAAAGCGUGGGGAGCAAACAGG